This 1267-nucleotide ribosomal RNA is filed under the name uncultured Sebacina. RNAcentral describes it as "eukaryotic LSU rRNA". The stretch from base 592 to 1267 matches the Rfam family "Eukaryotic large subunit ribosomal RNA", at positions 1 to 656 of the family's 3401-position model. Lineage: Eukaryota; Fungi; Basidiomycota; Agaricomycetes; Sebacinales; Sebacinaceae. The record is from RNAcentral.
UUCCGUAGGUGAACCUGCGGAAGGAUCAUUAAUGAAACUUCAAAGUCGGCUCGUCUAUCUGUGCUGGUGGAGACACAUGUGCACGUUGGCAAGUCGCAAAUCCACACACCUGUGCAUCUAUGACUCUGAGUACCGCUUUGCAUGGCCCUCUGGGGCCUGGUACUCGAGUACUUUACACACUCUGAAUGUAAUGGAAUGUCUUUUUGUACAAUGUACAACUAAAAACAACUUUCAACAACGGAUCUCUUGGCUCUCGCAUCGAUGAAGAACGCAGCGAAAUGCGAUAAGUAAUGUGAAUUGCAGAAUUCAGUGAAUCAUCGAAUCUUUGAACGCACCUUGCACCCUUUGGUAUUCCGAAGGAUACACCCGUUUGAGUGUCAUUGUAAUCUCACUGCGACCACUUUAUUGUUGGUUUGUAUGUGGACUUGGAUGUUGCCGUGUAACAAACGGCUCGUCUGAAAUGCCUGAGUGUACCCUGCUUUUGCGGCGUAUUCGGUGUGAUAAAUCUUCACCGGAGUUGACUUUCGGGUCGCGCUUGUAUUGUCGGGCUCUAUGCUUCCAACCGUCCUAACAAGACAAUCUUUGACAAUUUGACCUCAAAUCGAGUGGGACUACCCGCUGAACUUAAGCAUAUCAAUAAGCGGAGGAAAAGAAACUAACAAGGAUUCCCCUAGUAACGGCGAGUGAAGAGGGAAAAGCUCAAAUUUUGAAUCUGGUGUCUUUGACUCCCGAGUUGUAAUCUAGAGAAGUGUUUUCCGCGUUGGACCGUGUACAAGUUCCCUGGAACGGGGCGUCAUAGAGGGUGAGAAUCCCGUAUAUGCCACGGACUACCAAUGCUCUGUGAUACACUCUCAACGAGUCGAGUUGUUUGGGAAUGCAGCUCAAAAUGGGUGGUAAAUUCCAUCUAAAGCUAAAUAUUGGCGAGAGACCGAUAGCGAACAAGUACCGUGAGGGAAAGAUGAAAAGCACUUUGGAAAGAGAGUGAAACAGUACGUGAAAUUGUUGAAAGGGAAGCGUUUGAAGUCAGUCACGUCUGUCGGAAUUCAGCCUGGCUUCUGCCUGGUGUACUUUCCGUCUGACGGGUCAGCAUCAAUUUCGACCGAGGGAAAAAGACGUGAGGAAUGUGGCUGUCUUCGGGCAGUGUUAUAGACUCGCGUUGUAUGUCUCGGUUGGGAUUGAGGAACGCAGCGCGCCUAUUGGCCGGGGGUUCGUGCCCCUCGGUACGCGCUUAGGAUGCUGGCAUAAUGGCUUUAAGCGACCCGUCUUG